UGGCUCAGAUGUUAGAGCAUGGUGUUUGCAAUGCCAGGGUUGUGGGUUAGAUUCCCAC
This 58-nucleotide transfer RNA is filed under the name Salmo salar (Atlantic salmon). It matches the Rfam family "tRNA", at positions 8 to 63 of the family's 71-position model. Rfam says of the family: Transfer RNA (tRNA) molecules are approximately 80 nucleotides in length. Their secondary structure includes four short double-helical elements and three loops (D, anti-codon, and T loops). Further hydrogen bonds mediate the characteristic L-shaped molecular structure. tRNAs have two regions of fundamental functional importance: the anti-codon, which is responsible for specific mRNA codon recognition, and the 3' end, to which the tRNAs corresponding amino acid is attached (by aminoacyl-tRNA synthetases). tRNAs cope with the degeneracy of the genetic code in two manners: having more than one tRNA (with a specific anti-codon) for a particular amino acid; and 'wobble' base-pairing, i.e. permitting non-standard base-pairing at the 3rd anti-codon position. Lineage: Eukaryota; Metazoa; Chordata; Actinopteri; Salmoniformes; Salmonidae. The record is from Rfam by way of RNAcentral.